This 254-nucleotide ribosomal RNA is filed under the name uncultured bacterium. Its description in RNAcentral is "partial 16S ribosomal RNA". It matches the Rfam family "Bacterial small subunit ribosomal RNA", at positions 524 to 776 of the family's 1533-position model. The record is from RNAcentral.
CACGUAGGGGACGAGCGUUGUCCGGAUUCAUUGGGCGUAAAGAGCUCGUAGGCGGUCUGUCGCGUCGAUCGUGAAAACUUGGGGCUUAACCCUGAGCUUGCGGUCGAUACGGGCAUGACUGGAGUUCGGCAGGGGAGACUGGAAUUCCUGGUGUAGCGGUGAAAUGCGCAGAUAUCAGGAGGAACACCGGUGGCGAAGGCGGGUCUCUGGGCCGAUACUGACGCUGAGGAGCGAAAGCGUGGGGAGCAAACAGG